RNAcentral lists this ribosomal RNA (1002 nucleotides) under uncultured bacterium. RNAcentral describes it as "bacterial SSU rRNA". It matches the Rfam family "Bacterial small subunit ribosomal RNA", at positions 287 to 1298 of the family's 1533-position model. The record is from RNAcentral.
CCGGCCUGAGAGGGCGACCGGCCACAUUGGGACUGAGAUACGGCCCAGACUCCUACGGGAGGCAGCAGUGGGGAAUAUUGCACAAUGGGCGCAAGCCUGAUGCAGCGACGCCGCGUGCGGGAUGACGGCCUUCGGGUUGUAAACCGCUUUUGAUCGGGAGCAAGCCUUCGGGUGAGUGUACCUUUCGAAUAAGCACCGGCUAACUACGUGCCAGCAGCCGCGGUAAUACGUAGGGUGCAAGCGUUAUCCGGAAUUAUUGGGCGUAAAGGGCUCGUAGGCGGUUCGUCGCGUCCGGUGUGAAAGUCCAUCGCUUAACGGUGGAUCUGCGCCGGGUACGGGCGGGCUGGAGUGCGGUAGGGGAGACUGGAAUUCCCGGUGUAACGGUGGAAUGUGUAGAUAUCGGGAAGAACACCAAUGGCGAAGGCAGGUCUCUGGGCCGUUACUGACGCUGAGGAGCGAAAGCGUGGGGAGCGAACAGGAUUAGAUACCCUGGUAGUCCACGCCGUAAACGGUGGAUGCUGGAUGUGGGGCCCGUUCCACGGGUUCCGUGUCGGAGCUAACGCGUUAAGCAUCCCGCCUGGGGAGUACGGCCGCAAGGCUAAAACUCAAAGAAAUUGACGGGGGCCCGCACAAGCGGCGGAGCAUGCGGAUUAAUUCGAUGCAACGCGAAGAACCUUACCUGGGCUUGACAUGUUCCCGACAGCCGUAGAGAUAUGGCCUCCCUUCGGGGCGGGUUCACAGGUGGUGCAUGGUCGUCGUCAGCUCGUGUCGUGAGAUGUUGGGUUAAGUCCCGCAACGAGCGCAACCCUCGCCCUGUGUUGCCAGCACGUCAUGGUGGGAACUCACGGGGGACCGCCGGGGUCAACUCGGAGGAAGGUGGGGAUGACGUCAGAUCAUCAUGCCCCUUACGUCCAGGGCUUCACGCAUGCUACAAUGGCCGGUACAACGGGAUGCGACACGGCGACGUGGAGCGGAUCCCUGAAAACCGGUCUCAGUUCGGAU